This 177-nucleotide non-coding RNA is filed under the name Sinobacterium norvegicum. Its description in RNAcentral is "6S". It matches the Rfam family "6S / SsrS RNA". From Rfam's summary of the family: E. coli 6S RNA was the first non coding RNA to be sequenced, but its function was unknown until recently. It consists of 184 nucleotides that fold into an extended hairpin structure with a large single-stranded internal bulge. Lineage: Bacteria; Pseudomonadati; Pseudomonadota; Gammaproteobacteria; Cellvibrionales; Spongiibacteraceae. The record is from RNAcentral.
CAUACCCUGGGGUAUUGGCCAGUUCGCAAGUCCUCGAGCCGAUAAUCUAUACCCCGGUGUCCUCCAGCUAGUGUUGGUGUGCAUGUCCGCUCGACGGAAAGCCUAAUGCAUUACUGAGGCCACCACCUUGAACUUUACGGUUCAAGGCCAAGCCAACAGCGGUACCUUGGGGUCACU